RNAcentral lists this ribosomal RNA (200 nucleotides) under uncultured eukaryote. Its description in RNAcentral is "partial 18S ribosomal RNA". It matches the Rfam family "Eukaryotic small subunit ribosomal RNA", at positions 588 to 809 of the family's 1831-position model. The record is from RNAcentral.
GCUCCAAUAGCGUAUAUUAUUGAUGUUGCAGUUGAAACGUUCGUAGUCGAACCUUUUCUGCUUAAGUACUGUGUCAUCGACGAUGUUGCAUUACUCUCAGCAGAGAUUGUGCAAAGGUAUGUGUUUCGCAUGUAUCGUUUGCAUAUUACUUUGAGUGAAUCGGCGUGUUCCACGCAGCGUCCGCCUUGAACGAUUUACCA